Pelobates cultripes (western spadefoot toad) is the source of this 262-nucleotide non-coding RNA. The record is from the annotation of a GenBank genome assembly. NCBI's taxonomy places the organism in Eukaryota, Metazoa, Chordata, Amphibia, Anura, Pelobatidae.
CUCAUAGUGGAGGAGUCACAUCAUUCAUAUCACUAUUCGCUGUUUCUGUAGAUUUGUAAAUAUAAACAGACUAAUUUAUCACAGACGGGUGCUGGUAGCUUUUACAUGUCUUCCACUAUUAACCAGGGCAGACCUGGCACAUGACCCAAAAUCCAUGCAUGGAAAGUAAAGGAGGAAACUACGUAGACUCCUGGAGAAUUGUCCCUACCACUUCCUUCACCCUGUUUGCAGUGGAAUGAAGUGUCUAAUAAUUAACAAGUAG